RNAcentral lists this ribosomal RNA (497 nucleotides) under uncultured bacterium. RNAcentral describes it as "partial 16S ribosomal RNA". It matches the Rfam family "Bacterial small subunit ribosomal RNA", at positions 28 to 507 of the family's 1533-position model. The record is from RNAcentral.
GAUGAACGCUGGCGGCGUGCCUAAUACAUGCAAGUCGAGCGAACAGACGAGGAGCUUGCUCCUCUGACGUUAGCGGCGGACGGGUGAGUAACACGUGGAUAACCUACCUAUAAGACUGGGAUAACUUCGGGAAACCGGAGCUAAUACCGGAUAAUAUAUUGAACCGCAUGGUUCAAUAGUGAAAGACGGUUUUGCUGUCACUUAUAGAUGGAUCCGCGCCGCAUUAGCUAGUUGGUAAGGUAACGGCUUACCAAGGCAACGAUGCGUAGCCGACCUGAGAGGGUGAUCGGCCACACUGGAACUGAGACACGGUCCAGACUCCUACGGGAGGCAGCAGUAGGGAAUCUUCCGCAAAGGGCGAAAGCCUGACGGAGCAACGCCGCGUGAGUGAUGAAGGUCUUCGGAUCGUAAAACUCUGUUAUUAGGGAAGAACAAAUGUGUAAGUAACUAUGCACGUCUUGACGGUACCUAAUCAGAAAGCCACUGCUAACUACGUG